GAUGAACGCUGGCGGCGUGCUUAACACAUGCAAGUCGAACGAAGCACCUUAUUCUGAUUUCUUCGGAAUGAAAAAUUUGGUGACUGAGUGGCGGACGGGUGAGUAACGCGUGGGUAACCUGCCUCAUACAGGGGGAUAACAGUUAGAAAUGACUGCUAAUACCGCAUAAGACCACAGCACCGCAUGGUGCAGGGGUAAAAACUCCGGUGGUAUGAGAUGGACCCGCGUCUGAUUAGGUAGUUGGUGGGGUAACGGCCUACCAAGCCGACGAUCAGUAGCCGACCUGAGAGGGUGACCGGCCACAUUGGGACUGAGACACGGACCAAACUCCUGCGGGAGGCAGCAGUGGUGAAUAUUGCACAAUGGGGGAAACCCUGAUGCAGCGACGCCGCGUGAGCGAUGAAGUAUUUCGGUAUGUAAAGCUCUAUCAGCAGGGAAGAAAAUGACGGUACCUGACUAAGAAGCACCGGCUAAAUACGUGCCAGCCGCCGCCGUAA
RNAcentral lists this ribosomal RNA (497 nucleotides) under uncultured bacterium. RNAcentral's name for it is "partial 16S ribosomal RNA". It matches the Rfam family "Bacterial small subunit ribosomal RNA", at positions 28 to 523 of the family's 1533-position model. The record is from RNAcentral.